AACGAACGCUGGCGGCAGGCUUAACACAUGCAAGUCGAGCGCCCCGCAAGGGGAGCGGCAGACGGGUGAGUAACGCGUGGGAAUCUACCCUUUUCUACGGAAUAACGCAUGGAAACGUGUGCUAAUACCGUAUGAGCCCUUCGGGGGGAAAGAUUUUAUCGGGGAAAAGGAUGAGCCCGCGUUGGAUUAGCUAGUUGGUG
This 200-nucleotide ribosomal RNA is filed under the name uncultured bacterium. RNAcentral describes it as "partial 16S ribosomal RNA". It matches the Rfam family "Bacterial small subunit ribosomal RNA", at positions 29 to 254 of the family's 1533-position model. The record is from RNAcentral.